AUCACAAAGGCCCUUCUGACCACUUGGCCAGCUCUGAUGUCCUAGCAGAGUCCAAAUGAGUUCAUGCUUCUGUUGAUUUUGAGCAAGCUCAACUGUUACAACUGGGAUGAAGAAGAUGACUUCUGAAGUGAAUGCAUUGCAGACCUCAGCUCAGUAACUCCACGGCUUACUUCCAUUACAACGAGGCUGUCUAAAGAUCCAAAGGGUGGCACACCA
Meleagris gallopavo (turkey) is the source of this 216-nucleotide non-coding RNA. The record is from RefSeq and is a predicted model, not a curated record. NCBI's taxonomy places the organism in Eukaryota, Metazoa, Chordata, Aves, Galliformes, Phasianidae.